CUCUCUUCUCAGCAGAGCAGCUACAGGGCUGCUUUUUGUCAGCAGUUCUCCCAGGCUGGCAGGACAAUUUGUGCUCCAACUCAUCCCUACAGUCAUCCUCUCCUAUGGGAAGAGCCACAUGGUUGCCUUUCAUGUUGCUUCAUAUGCAGCCGUGCUACAGCGCGAUACUGCUGACUUGAUCCAUUAUAGGACAAAUUAUCUUCAAUGGAGAUUACACGGCUGUUUCUUUCUUAGGGGAAAAUCUGAAGCAGAUGAAGCAGCUGUUAAUUAGAACUUCACCCUUCUUGUUGGGACUUCUUCAGCUUGGGCAUGAGAUGGAAUUAAAUGAGAAUAAUAAGCAGACUUGUUAUCUGGAAAUAUUAGGAUUCCUGAAGUACCCAAAUCUGAACAUGAAUGCCUUAUUCUCUUCUUCCAGCCAGCGUUUGCAAGAUUAUGCACAAGGCACGAGGCAUGACUGAGCUCCUCUACACUCCCACACUCGA
Molecule: long non-coding RNA, 482 nt
Organism: Nothoprocta perdicaria
Lineage: Eukaryota; Metazoa; Chordata; Aves; Tinamiformes; Tinamidae
Exons: 5
Source: RefSeq, a predicted model, not a curated record